GUGGGGAAUAUUGCACAAUGGGGGAAACCCUGAUGCAGCCAUGCCGCGUGUGUGAAGAAGGCCUUCGGGUUGUAAAGCACUUUCAGCGAGGAGGAAAGGUUGUUGGCUAAUACCCAACAGCUGUGACGUUACUCGCAGAAGAAGCACCGGCUAACUCCGUGCCAGCAGCCGCGGUAAUACGGAGGGUGCAAGCGUUAAUCGGAAUUACUGGGCGUAAAGCGCACGCAGGCGGUUAGAUAAGCUAGAUGUGAAAGCCCCGAGCUCAACUUGGGAACUGCAUUUAGAACUGUCUGACUAGAGUCUUGUAGAGGGGGGUAGAAUUCCAGGUGUAGCGGUGAAAUGCGUAGAGAUCUGGAGGAAUACCGGUGGCGAAGGCGGCCCCCUGGACAAAGACUGACGCUCAGGUGCGAAAGCGUGGGGAGCAAACAGGAUUAGAAACCCCUGUAGUCC
This 450-nucleotide ribosomal RNA is filed under the name uncultured bacterium. Its description in RNAcentral is "bacterial SSU rRNA". It matches the Rfam family "Bacterial small subunit ribosomal RNA", at positions 354 to 796 of the family's 1533-position model. The record is from RNAcentral.